UUGAUACAUUCACCUCUGAAGGAACUGGUGCCUACAGUUUGACCCCACUGCUGUCUCUGGAUCCACACGCACCUCGCCCGGCCAUCUAGAUGUGUGAAAGUAAGCUACUUCCAAAAGACCCACAAGCCUGUGAAGUUCUCUACCCUAGAAGAUCCCUAGAAUUACCUUAGAAUCCAGUCUACAUUCUUGUGAAUCAUGAAGUCCUUGGCUCUAGCUUUAAUCCUGUGUGUGCUGCUUCCACUGUUCCAUGCUUAUUGCUACAUGAAGCCUAUGACCUCGAAGCCAGGCAUGAUUACCCAUUGUCGUGAUGACAAGGAUGAGACAUGGCAUCCUAUUGGUUCCCGCUGGAGGAACAGUGAUUGCAUGGACUGCACUUGUAAUUCAUGCUGCUCACGGUAUGCAACUCCCGUAGAUUUUCCUGGUGAUUGCAUGAAGGAGUGGGACCAAAAGGCAUGUGAAUUCAAGGUGGUUAAGAAGAGUGAUCCCUCAAUUUCAUGCCCUAUCUUCAGCUCUGUGGGGAAGUGAAUUGUUUUCUUCACUGUGUUCUCAAUAUACAAUGAAUAAAAUACGUUAUACAAUGAAUAAAAUAUGUUGUCAGCUUA
Salvelinus fontinalis (brook trout) is the source of this 602-nucleotide long non-coding RNA. RefSeq lists it as uncharacterized. Lineage: Eukaryota; Metazoa; Chordata; Actinopteri; Salmoniformes; Salmonidae. The transcript has 6 exons. The record is from RefSeq and is a predicted model, not a curated record.